This 500-nucleotide ribosomal RNA is filed under the name uncultured bacterium. Its description in RNAcentral is "partial 16S ribosomal RNA". It matches the Rfam family "Bacterial small subunit ribosomal RNA", at positions 30 to 523 of the family's 1533-position model. The record is from RNAcentral.
AUUGAACGCUGGCGGAAUGCUUUACACAUGCAAGUCGAACGGCAGCACGGACUUCGGUCUGGUGGCGAGUGGCGAACGGGUGAGUAAUAUAUCGGAACGUGCCCAGUCGUGGGGGAUAACGUAGUGUAAAUUACGCUAAUACCGCAUACGAUCUACGGUUGAAAGCGGGGGAUCGCAAGACCUCGCGCGAUUGGAGCGGCCGAUAUCAGAUUAGGUAGUUGGUGAGGUAAAGGCUCACCAAGCCGACGAUCUGUAGCUGGUCUGAGAGGACGACCAGCCACACUGGAACUGAGACACGGUCCAGACUCCUACGGGAGGCAGCAGUGGGGAAUUUUGGACAAUGGACGCAAGUCUGAUCCAGCCAUUCCGCGUGCAGGACGAAGGCCUUCGGGUUGUAAACUGCUUUUGUACAGAACGAAAAGGUCUCUAUUAAUACUAGGGGCUCAUGACGGUACUGUAAGAAUAAACACCGGCUAACUACGUGCCAGCAGCCGCCGUAA